AGUGAACGCUGGCGGUAGGCCUAACACAUGCAAGUCGAACGGCAGCACAGUAAGAGCUUGCUCUUACGGGUGGCGAGUGGCGGACGGGUGAGGAAUACAUCGGAAUCUACUUUUUCGUGGGGGAUAACGUAGGGAAACUUACGCUAAUACCGCAUACGACCUACGGGUGAAAGCAGGGGCUCUUCGGACCUUGCGCGAUUGAAUGAGCCGAUGUCGGAUUAGCUAGUUGGCGGGGUAAAGGCCCACCAAGGCGACGAUCCGUAGCUGGUCUGAGAGGAUGAUCAGCCACACUGGAACUGAGACACGGUCCAGACUCCUACGGGAGGCAGCAGUGGGGAAUAUUGGACAAUGGGCGAAAGCCUGAUCCAGCCAUACCGCGUGGGUGAAGAAGGCCUUCGGGUUGUAAAGCCCUUUUGUUGGGAAAGAAAAGCAGCAGGUUAAUACCCCGCUGUUCUGACGGUACCCAAAGAAUAAGCACCGGCUAACUUCGUG
RNAcentral lists this ribosomal RNA (492 nucleotides) under uncultured bacterium. Its description in RNAcentral is "partial 16S ribosomal RNA". It matches the Rfam family "Bacterial small subunit ribosomal RNA", at positions 29 to 507 of the family's 1533-position model. The record is from RNAcentral.